UGUCAGUGUAAUUAUAUAGCGGUAAUUUACUUUUAUCAUUUUGUUGGUCGUCAUGACGUAUCUAUAUAAUCUAAUAACAAGAAAGUUACUUAAAUACGACAUUUAUUAUUAAUGAUUGUUUUACUUAAUAUGAGACAAGGUAACCUAAAAUAUAUUAUUUUUCAUGAAAGAAAAGAUUAGAUGUAUGUAAUUGACGUAAAUCUACUUUAUUCUACGAAAAAGGCCUCCGCAGGUACACUGCGUCAAAAAAACAUUCAUUAGAUUUUACGGAUAUUUGAAAUUUUUUUGACGUCUUUUUAUUUUAUUAUUAUUAAUUCUAUCGCAGUUAAGGUGGGGUUAUGUACCGUUAAAUACUGGCCAAAAUUCUGUUUUCUCAUCAGAAGUUUCAAUUGUCACAAUACUGAACAUAUCAGUCGCUAUAGUAUAAAUAAUUGAGUAAGUAAUACGUCAUUUAAUUUUGAAUUUAAAUUUAGUAAAUUGGUUUUCCCAUAAUGAGUAUUAUUAUAAUAUUUAUAUUUAUAUUUAUAUUUAUAUAUAUAAUGAAUAUAUAUCGCAUACCUCGAACGCGAACCGUAGUACUCUAAUGUCACCAAAUCGACUUUCAAUAUUACAUUUUGUGAAGUAAACUAAAAGCGAUUAUUUUUCCCGCAAAAAUGAAAUUUAAAUUGAGACGACAAAUAAAAAUUAAUUAUUAUUAUUAUUUUACUAAUAAUAACAAUUUUCUAAUGAUAAAUGUAAUUUUUAGUGUAAUAACUUUUUAAAUUACAUUAUACGGUUGCCCAAUUUCAAAACACAGUAACUGACAAAAAAAAAGUUUUUGAAAUAUGCAUUGAAUCAAGUUCAUGAGACCCCAUUGGAACUAAAAAUACCAAAAAAUCGAUUUUGAAAAAUUUGUCAGUUACUGUGUUUUGAAAUUGGGCAGCCGUAUAUCAUGAAAGACUUUUUACUCCACCGUCCAUCUUACGGUUUUUAAUAAAAUUAAUUAUUAUUAUUAUUAUUAUUAUUAUUAUUAUUAUUAUUAUCAUUAUUAUUAUACAUUAUGAUUACAUCUUUUAGACUGCAUAUAGUAGAGCAUUUAAAGAUUCAAAUAAAUAAAAUUAAUAUUAAUAAAUUUAAUUUAAUUAUUAGCUUCUUCGUUAUUUUUAUUUUUAUUAUUUUAUUAUUUAUUUAACUAUUAUUUUGGUAGCUAAAUACGAAUCACCGGUAUCAGGCAGUUAAAAAAAAAGUUCGUGUUGAUUAAUUGAAUACAAUUUUUUUAUAACUUCAAACUAAAUACGCAGUUCGGUAAUUAAUUAUUCAAACAUAUUACAUGAGCGUUUGAGGUGUGUAUUUUUGUAUGCUCUAAAUAUUUUCAUUUAUUAUAUAUAAUUAAUAUAUAAAACAAUUAAGACAGUAGAUUAAAAUGUUAUAUGAAAAAAUUGGUUUCAGAUAAAAAUUUAAGAAUUGUACUAAAAAUUUUGUUUAAAUUAUAUCUUAAACUGCAUAAUUUACGGCUGAAAAUUAUAUUUAAUAAAAUUAUUAUUUUAAACUGUAACUAUUAAAAAAUUUUUUCAAUUAAAUCCAGUUUUCUAUUUAAAAUACUGCGGUAGUAUACGAAAACAAUAUUUUUCCUAGAUUUAUUUUUGUGUGGAAAUUUCAGUAAUUACUUUUUUAUUUUACUUGACUAUUAAGUUAAUAAUAAUUUAUUAUUUUUUUAAAUUGAUAUACAAUUUAAAUCAACAACCAACCAAAAUGUCUAAGAUACUGUUUGCAUUUAUUUUCAUGGUAGUCGUUGUUUCCAUGAUGGAAACCAGUGCUAAAGAAUGCAGAUUAUGGCUCGGCGGGGAAUGUGUGGAGAAGUGUGGCCAUUUACAUUUAAAGCGUGCGCAGGGGUAAAAAUUGCCGAUAAUAUAGCAUUGAUGUCGUAAUUCGUAGCUGCUAUACUGUGUAACUAAUUGCGAUUUCGUUCAACAAUUAAACAAAUCCAUUUUAUGUAAAAAUUAAAUUAAAUUAUUGUAAAACCAUAUCAAUAUACAAUUAGUGUUUUGUUUUUUGAAUGAAAUAUUAAAUUUUUCUAAUAUUCA
Microplitis demolitor is the source of this 2063-nucleotide long non-coding RNA. RefSeq lists it as uncharacterized. The record is from RefSeq and is a predicted model, not a curated record. NCBI's taxonomy places the organism in Eukaryota, Metazoa, Arthropoda, Insecta, Hymenoptera, Braconidae. The transcript is spliced from 2 exons.